UCUGCAGGCAGAACACUUGGAUUCCUCUCU
This 30-nucleotide non-coding RNA is filed under the name Mus musculus (house mouse). Lineage: Eukaryota; Metazoa; Chordata; Mammalia; Rodentia; Muridae. The record is from RNAcentral.